This 253-nucleotide ribosomal RNA is filed under the name uncultured bacterium. RNAcentral describes it as "partial 16S ribosomal RNA". It matches the Rfam family "Bacterial small subunit ribosomal RNA", at positions 524 to 776 of the family's 1533-position model. The record is from RNAcentral.
UACGUAGGGGGCAAGCGUUGUCCGGAUUUAUUGGGCGUAAAGAGCGUGUAGGCGGCCGUACAGGUCAGCUGUGAAAACUCGAGGCUCAACCUCGAGACGUCGGUUGAAACCACAUGGCUAGAGUCCGGAAGAGGAGAGUGGAAUUCCUGGUGUAGCGGUGAAAUGCGCAGAUAUCAGGAAGAACACCAAUGGCGAAGGCAGCUCUCUGGGACGGUACUGACACUGAGACGCGAAAGCGUGGGGAGCGAACAGG